Molecule: ribosomal RNA, 441 nt
Filed under: uncultured bacterium
Lineage: Bacteria
Description: partial 16S ribosomal RNA
Rfam family: Bacterial small subunit ribosomal RNA
Source: RNAcentral
CCUACGGGUGGCAGCAGUGGGGGAUAUUGCACAAUGGGGGAAACCCUGAUGCAGCGACGCCGCGUGGGUGAAGGAGCAUUUCGGUACGUAAAGCUCUAUCAGCAGGGAAGAAGGAAGACGGUACCUGACUAAGAAGCCCCGGCUAACUACGUGCCAGCAGCCGCGGUAAUACGUAGGGGGCAAGCGUUAUCCGGAUUUACUGGGUGUAAAGGGAGCGUAGACGGCUGUGCAAGCCUGAAGUGAAAGCCCAGGGCCCAACCCUGGGACUGCUUUGGGAACUGUGGGGCUGGAGUGCUGGAGGGGUAAGUGGAAUUCCUGGUGUAGCGGUGAAAUGCGUAGAUAUCAGGAGGAACACCAGUGGCGAAGGCGGCUUACUGGACUGCAACUGACGUUGAGGCUCGAAAGCGUGGGGAGCAAACAGGAUUAGAUACCCCUGUAGUC